Non-coding RNA from Macaca mulatta (Rhesus monkey), 117 nucleotides. The record is from Rfam. Lineage: Eukaryota; Metazoa; Chordata; Mammalia; Primates; Cercopithecidae.
GCCGGGUGUGGUGGCUCACACCUGUAAUCCCAGUACUUUGGGAGGCUGAGGCGGGUAGAUCGCCUGAGGUCAGGAGUUCGAGACCAGCCUGGCCAACAUGGUGAAACCCCGUCUCUA